RNAcentral lists this ribosomal RNA (485 nucleotides) under uncultured bacterium. RNAcentral's name for it is "SSU rRNA". It matches the Rfam family "Bacterial small subunit ribosomal RNA", at positions 26 to 521 of the family's 1533-position model. The record is from RNAcentral.
AGGAUAAACGCUGGCAGCGUGCCUAACACAUGCAAGUCGAACGCGCUUGCUAUCCGCGAGGACGGUGAGCGAGUGGCGGACGGGUGAGGAACACGUGGGUGACCUACCUUUCAGUGAGGGAUACCGGCGAGAAAUUGCCGACAAGACCGCAUACGCUUCUCUUUUCAAGGGGAGAAGGAAAGCUUUUCGCAAGAGAGGCGCUGGGAGAUGGGCCUGCGGCCGAUUAGCUAGCUGGUGGGGUAAUGGCCUACCAGGGCGACGAUCGGUAGCUGGUCUGAGAGGACGAUCAGCCACACUGGGAUUGAGAACGGCCCAGACUCCUACGGGGGGCAGCAGUGAGGAAUUUUCGGCAAUGGGGGCAACCCUGACCGAGCAACGCCGCGUGCAGGACGACGGCCUUCGGGUUGUAAACUGCUUUUCUCUGGGACGAGCAAGGACGGUACCAGAGGAAGAAGCCCGGCUAACUACGUGCCAGCAGCCGCGGU